CCGCCUCUCCCCAUCUUUUCCAGCAGCGGAGGGAGGACAGCGCCUGCCCCUGCUUGUGCAGGCGGUGCGGUCUGUGCUGAGAGACCCCAGCAGGAAGGUGGCGAGGGCAGUUCUGCGCUUCACCAAGGAGCUGCUCAGCUGCAGCGUCCAGAGCUGCUCGGCCUGGGAUCUGGUGGCCCACGUCUUCGCCACGUUCAGCCAGGCCUCCGGCAGACUGGCGCAGGGAAACCUUUCUCGGGCAGAAGCACAGGAAGCAACAGACCUUCAAGCCCUGUGCUUGGACAUCCUGGGCUCUGUGGACGUCUCCGUCAGGGGGAUGACCAAACUCUUGUGGCCGCGGCUCCUGCAGUACGUGGUGCCAGCCCAGUACACGGGCACGCUGGUGCCCCUGUCCCAGUGCCUCCGAGAGCUGGCCGAGCGCCGGCAGAGAGCAGGGGANNNNNNNNNNNNNNCCAUGUGCCCGGCCGGGCCGUGCAGGGGCCGGGGACGCCCUGCCAGACGCAGGCGGGAGGCGGGAGCGAGGACGGGCAGAGCCGUGCCCCUCUGGCCGGGGCGAGGGAGCUCUGUGCCGCGUUUCCUCGUGCCCGGCAGAGACGCCUCGCUCGACUGCUGGCAGCUUUCUGCUUGCGGCCCGGGAGCGUUUCCCAGCCGCGCUGGAGCUGCCUGCACCUC
This 672-nucleotide long non-coding RNA is filed under the name Struthio camelus australis. RNAcentral describes it as "lncRNA (ENSSCUG00000000135.1)". The record is from RNAcentral. Lineage: Eukaryota; Metazoa; Chordata; Aves; Struthioniformes; Struthionidae.